GCGAGCGUUGUCCGGAAUUAUUGGGCGUAAAGAGCUUGUAGGCGGUUUGUCGCGUCUGCUGUGAAAUUUCGGGGCUCAACCCCGAACUUGCAGUGGGUACGGGCAGACUAGAGUGUGGUAGGGGAGACUGGAGUUCCUGGUGUAGCGGUGAAAUGCGCAGAUAUCAGGAGGAACACCGAUGGCGAAGGCAGGUCUCUGGGCCACUACUGACGCUGAGAAGCGAAAGCAUGGGGAGCGAACAGGAUUAGAUACCCUGGUAGUCCAUGCCGUAAACGUUGGGAACUAGGUGUGGGUCUCAUUCCACGAGGUCCGUGCCGCAGCUAACGCAUUAAGUUCCCCGCCUGGGGAGUACGGCCGCAAGGCUAAAACUCAAAGGAAUUGACGGGGGCCCGCACAAGCGGCGGAGCAUGCGGAUUAAUUCGAUGCAACGCGAAGAACCUUACCAAGGCUUGACAUGUGCCGGAAAAGUGCAGAGAUGUGCUCCCGCAAGGUCGGUACACAGGUGGUGCAUGGUUGUCGUCAGCUCGUGUCGUGAGAUGUUGGGUUAAGUCCCGCAACGAGCGCAACCCUCGUUCUAUGUUGCCAGCGGGUUAUGCCGGGGACUCAUAGGAGACUGCCGGGGUCAACUCGGAGGAAGGUGGGGAUGACGUCAAAUCAUCAUGCCCCUUAUGUCUUGGGCUUCACGCAUGCUACAAUGGCCAGUACAAAGGGCUGCGAUACCGCAAGGUGGAGCGAAUCCCAAAAAACUGGUCUCAGUUCGGAUUGGGGUCUGCAACUCGACCCCAUGAAGUCGGAGUCGCUAGUAAUCGCAGAUCAGCAACGCUGCGGUGAAUACGUUC
RNAcentral lists this ribosomal RNA (839 nucleotides) under uncultured Actinomycetes bacterium. Its description in RNAcentral is "bacterial SSU rRNA". It matches the Rfam family "Bacterial small subunit ribosomal RNA", at positions 534 to 1373 of the family's 1533-position model. Lineage: Bacteria; Bacillati; Actinomycetota; Actinomycetes. The record is from RNAcentral.